RNAcentral lists this unclassified non-coding RNA (212 nucleotides) under soil metagenome. Its description in RNAcentral is "partial contains 5.8S ribosomal RNA, internal transcribed spacer 2, and large subunit ribosomal RNA". The record is from RNAcentral.
AAGACUAUAGACCUGCGGAGUACCUGCGGAGGGAUCAUUACCGAGUUAUACAACUCAUCAACCCUGUGAACAUACCUAUAACGUUGCCUCGGCGGGAACAGACGGCCCCGUAACACGGGCCGCCCCCGCCAGAGGACCCCCUAACUCUGUUUCUAUAAUGUUUCUUCUGAGUAAACAAGCAAAUAAAUUAAAACUUUUAACAACGGAUCUCU